GGAGAAGCUCUGUGGGAGUGCAGGAAUGAAGAGGACAUUUUAGCAGUGAUGUUUCAGGUGAAUGAUUUUAGCCAUCACUUAAGUCUGCUUUUGUCUUCUGCUUGAAGAUAUAAACUAAAAAUCAUAAAUAGGAAAACCAAAUAAGGGGUGCUAACUUUGUUGUUGCUUUCCAUUUGCAAUCAGCUUUACUAACCUGAAAACAACUGCUUUCCAGAACAAAUGGGGAAUUGUUUCACAUUCUGUUAGGAAUGUUUUAUGGAAUGCAAUGCCCCUUUUGGCUCAGUGAACUUGCCUAAUAAAUAUUUGUUGAAUUCCUAUCAGUUUUGGUACCAUGCCAAGUGUUUAUAGUCGGAGCCAAUGUACAUUUUCCUGGAAACUAGUCACUUAUAGGAAUAAGAAAUUUGUC
RNAcentral lists this long non-coding RNA (406 nucleotides) under Bos taurus (domestic cattle). RNAcentral describes it as "long non-coding RNA NONBTAT000880". Lineage: Eukaryota; Metazoa; Chordata; Mammalia; Artiodactyla; Bovidae. The record is from RNAcentral.